RNAcentral lists this transfer RNA (75 nucleotides) under Polyangiaceae bacterium LLY-WYZ-15_(1-7). RNAcentral's name for it is "tRNA-Asp". Lineage: Bacteria; Pseudomonadati; Myxococcota; Polyangiales; Polyangiaceae. The record is from RNAcentral.
GCCGCGUGAUGAAGCUGGCGUACCAGCUCCGCUGUCUACGGAGUGAGACGGGUUCGAUUCCCGUACGCGGCGCCA